CACUGUGGGAUGAAUGGUAAUUGGAAAUCUGAGCUCACAGUGACGUGGCCCUCAGGAGACCCAGAGCCAAUGAGUGGAUUAGUCUCUCCUUCUAGUUGCGGUCUGGUAGUCGUCGGUGGCAGUGGGACGGCUCGCUGUUGCUCUGAAGGCAGGCGAACAAGCUGCCCGGGAAAGGAGGAAAGUGGUAGAAGCCGACUCCAGAGGAGCCCUAGCAGGUCUUUAGUACGUUUGUGCAGCAGAUUUCAAGACUAAGAGAGAAAGACUGCCUCAUCCCUGCAGGAAGGAAAAAAACAGGAAGAAAAAAAAAAAACUCAACAUGGAAAAUGUCCCCAAGGAAAACAAAGUUGUGGAGAAGGCCCCAGUGCAGAAUGAAGCUCCCACUUUAGGAGGUGGUGAAGACCAGGAGCCUGAAGGAAAUAUUAGAGGGGUUCAGGCUCCACGUGCCCAGGAUUUUGGAGAGGAUGCGCCCAAUAGGCUUGUUGAUAACAUUGAUAUGAUAGAUGGAGAUGCAGAUGAUAUGGAACGGUUCAUGGAGGAGAUGAGAGAGCUAAGGAGGAAAAUUAGGGAACUUCAGUUGAGGUACAGUCUGCGCAUUCUUAUAGGGGACCCCCCUCAGCAUGAUCAUCAUGAUGAGUUUUGCCUUAUGCCUUGAAUCUUGAGAUUAAUAAUCAUAAAAUCCCUGCUUUCCAAAUUCGCAUUUUUCCUGGUGUACCUUUAAUGUGAACCUUUUGGCAUUCUUCUGCCAUUUUCUGAUUAGAGAUUGCUUUUAGACCUAGUCUGUAAGUUUUUCUGUCAGAAGAGGAUUUUCAUCAACUUUCAUGGAAAGAUGUUUAUUGCACACUGUAAAGUUAAUAAAGCAAUUUAAAAGUAGUCUAUAGAUAUGUGAUUUCAUUUAAAAGCAUAUGUAUGCACACUAUAUAUAAAAUACAUAAUUUAUGUGAAAUAUUAUACAUAUGAAAACCAGAAUGUGCUUUUUCUAUGUCGUAUAGUUACUGGUACUUUUAAAUUUCUUAAUUUUUUUUAUUGGUUAACUGUUUUUUUUUCUCACUUUUUCAAAAUGAAUACAUAUGUUUUGUACGUAUCAGGAAAAAAAAAAAAAAAGAAGCAACAAACUUGCCAAUCAGCUUAUACAGGGAAUGGGGACAAUUAAUAAACACUUGAAACACGAUUUAAAGACAUAUAAAUCUCAUAUUACCUGUGGAUCUCUCAUUUAGAAACACAUAUCUGAUAAUUACAGAUACAUUCCAUUAUAAAUGUCUUAGAGAGCUGCUGUGGGAAUCAAAUGAGGUAAUGACUGAGCCCUGUGUCUUGCUCUAUUUAUACAUGCAAGGCUCCAGCCCUCCAGGUGCCCUUCAUUUUUAGGGAAGAUUCCAAAGAGUGUACCAAUCAGGAGUCCAACUGAUUUAUAGGCACAUCUUUCUCUUCUGCUGGGUCUUGCUCCCUCCACUGGCUUCUACCACUGCGGACAUACUGGACUCCUGAAGAUGACAAAGACUCACCAAUUUUGGGUCUUUGUGGACCCCUCAGUGGUUCCACUAGACCCUUCAGUGGUUCGAAUCCCCAUUUUGCCUUUUCAAAAAUGUAUGGAAUGUUCCUCCCUGCCUUAGAGUUAUACUUAAACCAGAUGGAUACUUCACCAACACUGCAUAUAGAUGCAAACAACCCUUUAUGGUUUUCUCAUACUUCCUUCUUCAUCCCCUUCCCCCUGACAAAUUUGAGUGGCACUCAUGAUAGUGUGCUCAGAAUUGUAUUAUCUCUUCCAUCCUCUGAGAAAUAUAGCCCAGUCUCCUUGACUAUCCAUUUUCUGUGCAGACAUUGCUACAGGUUUCAUUCUGCACAUACACAGGAGUUGUAGGGAUAAUUUUAUGUUCUCAAGACUGUUUUGGCCCACAGCACCCUGAUCUUAGGAGUUCCCAGUAGUCUACACUAACUUACAUAGAUCCAGAUAAGUUUCCCUCUUCCUUUGCUUUGAGAUUUGCUGUGUCAAAUAAACCUGUAACUAAAGAUUGAUGGGAAAUAAUGGCAGGAACUGGGGAUCUGGUAGGUGAAUCCCAGUUUUAAGGCAUCGUUAUAAUCAUCACUGUUCCCCAGUAGUCUAUGCCCUUCUCACAGUACAUAUUUUGUCUCAUUUAUCCUGGCACCCUUAGUGUUUAGUACAGGGCCUGAUAAGUUGUAGGACACAACAGUUAAUUAUAGCUGAGUUGAAUCCUGCAAUCUGUACCCAGGGUUGCUUCUGAUCAUUUAUGGGCAAGCACUUAUUUUCCCUACAGACUGUAGCUUGCAAUUAAAAAGGAACACAGCAGAAGAAGCAUUAUGCACCAAUUU
This is an RNA transcript of Sapajus apella (tufted capuchin), 2325 nucleotides long. It is a transcript of the gene named brain expressed X-linked 5, with no coding region annotated. Lineage: Eukaryota; Metazoa; Chordata; Mammalia; Primates; Cebidae. The transcript has 4 exons. The record is from RefSeq and is a predicted model, not a curated record.